This 253-nucleotide ribosomal RNA is filed under the name uncultured bacterium. RNAcentral describes it as "partial 16S ribosomal RNA". It matches the Rfam family "Bacterial small subunit ribosomal RNA", at positions 524 to 776 of the family's 1533-position model. The record is from RNAcentral.
UACGGAGGGGGCUAGCGUUGUUCGGAAUUACUGGGCGUAAAGCGCGCGUAGGCGGAUUGAAAAGUCAGAGGUGAAAUCCCAGGGCUCAACCUUGGAACUGCCUUUGAAACUAUCAGUCUUGAGUUCGAGAGAGGUGAGUGGAAUUCCGAGUGUAGAGGUGAAAUUCGUAGAUAUUCGGAGGAACACCAGUGGCGAAGGCGGCUCACUGGCUCGAUACUGACGCUGAGGUGCGAAAGCGUGGGGAGCAAACAGG